Long non-coding RNA from Oreochromis niloticus (Nile tilapia), 4728 nucleotides. The record is from Ensembl. Lineage: Eukaryota; Metazoa; Chordata; Actinopteri; Cichliformes; Cichlidae.
AAGGCUCUGCUCUUACCACGAUGAAUCACGCACCCACGCCCUGGAGGGUUUAUCAACUUCAAGUUCAGACUCUGAGCAUGUUGAACCAGUUUACUGGAUCAGAGCCUAGCAGGAAAUCCUUUCUGUUCGUUAGCAGUGAGGCAGGAAUGGCAGAGUUUUGAGUUUUGGAUUCACUCAGUUAUGAGCGGAGUGAUCAGGACUCUGUGCUGGCUGUCCUUCUUUGAAGGAUGAUGAAAAACUUGCUGUCGUUCCUGCUCCUCGUUUCCCAGCAUGCUCUGGCUGUGGUGGUGGAGGUGAAUGAGGGGGCAGAGUCUGUCCUGCUGCCCUGUGAGUUCUCAGGUUUAAUACCUGAGAAUGACUCCACUGUGAUGUGGACUCACGAUGACCUUUAUAACAAAUCUGUCCACCUACGACGAAAAGAAGGAGAUGAUCUUAGAGAGCAAAACCAGGGUUACAGCGGGCGCACAUCGAUGAGGCCUGAUGCUCUGAACACUGGAAACUUCAGCCUCACUCUGAGAAAACCACAACUGACAGACAGCGGCAACUACUCCUGCUCCAUCAGUGAUGGAAGAGAAGAAAGGAGACUGAUAGAUGUACAGCUGCAGGUCAAAGAACCAUUUCCAUCCUGGGCCAUAGCUCUCCUGGUUCUCCUGCUUCUCCUGGUUCUUCUUGUGGUUUCUGGAGGUCUUCUAUUUUAUUUCCGGCACUAUUUCAUGUCAGAUUAUAAGGUGGAGCUGGAUUCAGGGGUGGAGUCUGUCCAGCUGCCCUGCAAAACCACAGUUAACCUGCCUAAAGACGCUAAAGUGGAGUGGAAGGACAAAAAAAACAGGAAGGUCCACAUUUAUAAGAACUGCUCUGACCAGACUGGAGAACAGCAUCACUUUUACAGAGAGCGCACAAAGAUGAAGAGAAACUUACUGGAACCUGGAGACCUCAGUCUGAACCUGAAACCCCCCACAGACACAGACACCUACACCUGCACCGUCUACAGCAGCAGGGGGACGAUCCUGAUGAAAAAAGAAGUGCUGCUCAUUGUCAGAGUCCCCCAGGUGGAGGUGGAAUCAGGUGUGGAGUCUGUCCAGCUGCCCUUCAAAACCACACUUCACCUGCCCAAAGAUGCUAAAGUGGAGUGGAAGGACAAAGGUAGCAGGAUGAUCUAUGUUCAUCAGAACGGCUCUGACCAGCCUGAAGAACAGCACCAGGCUUACAAAAACCGAACCAAGAUGAAUGAAGACCUGAUGAAAACUGGAGACCUCAGUCUGACCCUGAAAUACCCCACAGACUGGGACAACAGAACCUACACCUGCACCGUCUACAGCAGGGAGGGAAACAUCCUGCUGAAGAAACAAGUGGAGCUGAAAGUCAGAGUCUGUCAGGUGGAGGUGGAUUCAGGGGUGGAGUCUGUCCCGCUGCCCUUCAAAUCCACAGAAAACCUGCCUGAAGACGCUAAAGUGGAGUGGAAGGAUGGGAGAUCCAGAACAGUCCACGUGUAUAAGAACGGCUCUGACCAGCCUGAAGAACAGAACCAAGUUUACAGAGACCGAACAAAGAUGAAUAAAGACCUGCUGAAAACUGGAGACCUCAGUCUGACCCUGAAAUACCCCACAGACUGGGACAGCGAAGAUUUCAUAUGUGAAGUUUGGAGGAGUGGAAACAUCCUUAGAACAAAAUCACUGCUGCUCAAAGUCAAAGUCUGUCAGGUGGAGGUGGAGGAGGGGGCGGAGUCUGUCCAGCUGCCCUUCAAAACCACACAAAACCUGCCUGGAGAUGUUAGAGUGGUUUGGGAAUGCAAAGAGCCUGAACCAGUAAUGUUGGUCCAUGUAUAUGACAAUGGCUCUGACCAGCCUGAAGAACAGCACCAGGUUUACAGAGACAGAACGAAGAUGAACGAAGACCUGCUGAAAACUGGAGACCUCAGUCUGACCCUGAAACAGCCCACAGAGAGAGACAGUGGAGGAUAUGCAUGCUACGUUGUGAGGAAUCGAGCUGUGGUUCGAAGGAAGAGAGUGCAGCUCAAAGUCAAAGGGAGAGUUCAGGUUCAGGAUCAAACAGGGGACAUCAGGAACAGAAGCAGCUCCAUUGAUCCGACUCCUCUGAUGGCUGAUCAAUCAGUUUGAUCUGUGUGUUCUUUGAUUAUUGAUCAGUGAUGUCAGAGUGGAGUCAGUGUGAUGUUGUUGUUGUGUGUUUGAGACUUUUAGUGUCCAUGAAGGUCUCUGCUGCCGUAGAUCCUCUGAACUGUGACAGAGGUCUCACUCUGGAGGAAACUCUCAGCACUUUCCAGCAGCUCCUCCAUCAUGGAGGACGUUCCCUCACUGUAACAGGUGGAGGAGAGAGGAGAGGAAGCACAGGUGGAUCCUCUGAGGAAGAGGAGCGUUCCUACAAACCACAUGAUCACAUGACCAGAGGACAAGCAUGUGUAGAAACCUACAUCUGUCUCCAGCAGCUGUCUGAGCUGCAGUCUGUAUUGUGUGUGUAAUAUCUUCAUAUGUUUCUAAUAUUACAGUUUUAUCUUCAGGUGUAAAAUCAGCUGCUCUGCUGUCUUAUCCCCUGAUCCUGUGUGAUUGAUUAAUCCUGCAAACGCCACAAAUUUCAUUUCAGCUUUUAUUUGAAAGCUGAAACCUUGAAGGCUUUACAUGUGUUGGAUAUGAAUGUUUGGAGCCCAGAUCAUCAUUUGUCUUGUUUCAGUGGGAAUGUUUUUCUCCAUGUUGGCCUGAGGGUGGUGCUGUUUAGCCUGUACUGAGUAUUUGUCACUAUGCUGAGUUGUGGGUGGAGUCAGUGAUUGGCUGAAGGUGCCUUCUUUAAAGCGGGAACACUGGCUCAGCUUUCCUACCUCCUUACUCCCAGCUGGACCACGCUGCAUCAACAAGUGAUUGUCUGUGUGUGGAAGAGUGAUGCCAUUGUACACACUGUAAAUAUCUUCUUCUUCUUCAGCUGUGUGGGUGGAGAAGCUUUUCUGUUAGGGAGACGGUGUCCUUCUCACCUUCAGACAUGAGAUUAGAAAGAGAGAGAGUUCAGAUUACAGUGCAGAUAUGAAUGAAUGAAUCCGUGCUCGUCCUCACGGCUCCUGCAUGCUUUUAAAAAAGUGUGUGUUCAGCUCUGAUCUCCAAUCUGUUCUUUUCUCUCUUUGUUUCUUUCCUGGCUUCAUGAUCAUCAUCACACCGUCUGAGGCUCCUAAAUAUCCAUGUUUGCUUGUUUCACUCUCACAGUUGAACUCUGGGAGUCAAAGAUGUUUCAGCUCCAAACUCACUGAGAGCUCCUCGUGCCCACCACGUGACCAAAAACAUCUUUGUGCUCACGUGCUGCACGUGUCUGAGACACUUUAGUUUGAAGGAGACAAACUGCAGACGCAGCAUUUCCUGUUCCUGAGUGUAAACCUGAGCAUUUGAAAUGAGCUCCACAGGGGAAGCUGUAGGUGACAGAGAUACUCACAGACUCACUGACGUUACAGUCUGUUAGCAUCACGCAGUAUCACAGACACACGGGAAGAUUUAGUGCAAGUGCUGAGAGACACACAGCAGACAUAUUGACUGGAAACAUAUCAGACUGAAAUAAAGCAGAAGCACAUGUUAGCACAUGCUAAUAUGAUGUGGAUGUGUUUAGUGUGGGAGCAGGACUCACCUGAGACACACCUGUGUGGAUGAUGCUGCUUCCUGCUCUGCUCUUUCUGCUGAUUCAGCUUCUUCAUCACGUCUGAGGCUCUGUCACAGUUUGUUUGUCAACAUCAUCAUGGACACAACACAAGCACAUUUAUUUGACAUGUGAGUUUCUAUGAUUGUGAUUGAUGUGGAUGUAGAUGACAAAGAUGAUGAUAGAGAAGGGAUAUUGUACAUGUGUUCAGAUGAUGUAUGCAAACAGUCAUAACCUGGCUGUGACGUGUGUGGGGGAUUAAAAUUUUCCAAAAUGCAGUAAAUUAGGAUGACAGAAAUGAUGGCACCUCUGUUUUCACGUGAGCUAAAGCUACAGGUGUCACAUCAAACACUCACAGGGAAAACACCAAUCACAGCACGCACACAUAUACUGAACAUUACAGAGAGAAUUAUUAGAGAUCGACUCCGUUAUGAGCCUUCUUUUAAUAUCGAUGCCUGUUAAAAAUUUAUAACAGCCCUAAACAUGUCUUCAUUACAACAUGCAUCAGUCUAGUGUUUAUAAAUGAAUCUUUUUGUGCUACUGUCAGUAAUGCUGUAUAACGAGUUAAAGUGCUGCUAAAGUUAAACUCAGUGUGGUAUUUUCCAAAACUAUGGUGUCAUUGUGAUAGUUGCAGGCAAUGUUGGGUGUAACUGUAAUUAAAUUACUUUUCCACUGAAAAAGUAGAGUAACUAAUUACUAUUCAUUUUUAGGAAUUUUAAUUACAGUUACUUACAAUGUAUUUGUGUUACAUUGUAAAAUAAUUAAAUAAUAAAUAAAUAAAUAAUUAAACUCGCUGAAUAUCAUUAUUUAAGCAGGCAAAACUUGAUUUUACUUCAGCAGCACAGAAAGCGUCUGAAGGUGAGCUUAAAAAAUGAUUGCAGGCUACAUUGUGGAACAGAUGCUACCGCUGCGUACUGUAGAGUCUCCGUCUUUGAAAAAAAUUAUUUAUUAUUUAAAGAGUUUAAUUUCUAUUGUUUGUCCACUCAAGGUUUAUAGGGAUUUUAAGAAGUAUUUAGUUUAAUUACUUAUUUAGUAAUUAACUAACCCAAAACUGGUUGCAGGGCAUUGCGUUAAAAAAAAGUGUGUUGUACAGCUCUUUCC